AUUGAACGCUGGCGGCAGGCCUAACACAUGCAAGUCGAACGGUAACAGGAAGAAGCUUGCUUCUUUGCUGACGAGUGGCGGACGGGUGAGUAAUGUCUGGGAAACUGCCUGAUGGAGGGGGAUAACUACUGGAAACGGUAGCUAAUACCGCAUAACGUCGCAAGCACAAAAAGGGGGACCUUCGGGCCUCUUGCCAUCGGAUGUGCCCAGAUGGGAUUAGCUUGUAGGUGGGGUAACGGCUCACCUAGGCGACGAUCCCUAGCUGGCCGGGACGGAGGACCAGCCACACUGGAACGGAGACACGGUCCAGACUCCUACGGGAGGCAGCAGAGGGGAAUAUUGCACAAUGGGCGCAAGCCUGAUGCAGCCAUGCCGCGUGUAUGAAGAAGGCCUUCGGGUGGUAAAGUACUUUCAGCGGGGAGGAAGGGAGUAAAGUUAAUACCUUUACUCAUUGACGUUACCCGCAGAAGAAGCACCGGCUAACUCCGUG
RNAcentral lists this ribosomal RNA (490 nucleotides) under uncultured bacterium. Its description in RNAcentral is "partial 16S ribosomal RNA". It matches the Rfam family "Bacterial small subunit ribosomal RNA", at positions 30 to 507 of the family's 1533-position model. The record is from RNAcentral.